This 505-nucleotide ribosomal RNA is filed under the name uncultured bacterium. RNAcentral's name for it is "partial 16S ribosomal RNA". It matches the Rfam family "Bacterial small subunit ribosomal RNA", at positions 28 to 507 of the family's 1533-position model. The record is from RNAcentral.
GACGAACGCUGGCGGCGUGCCUAAUACAUGCAAGUAGAACGCACAGUUUAUACCGUAGCUUGCUACACCAUAGACUGUGAGUUGCGAACGGGUGAGUAACGCGUAGGUAACCUGCCUGGUAGCGGGGGAUAACUAUUGGAAACGAUAGCUAAUACCGCAUAAUAUUGAUUAUUGCAUGAUAAUUGAUUGAAAGAUGCUAUUGCAUCACUACCAGAUGGACCUGCGUUGUAUUAGCUAGUAGGUGAGGUAACGGCUCACCUAGGCGACGAUACAUAGCCGACCUGAGAGGGUGAUCGGCCACACUGGGACUGAGACACGGCCCAGACUCCUACGGGAGGCAGCAGUAGGGAAUCUUCGGCAAUGUACGAAAGGCUGACCGAGCAACGCCGCGUGAGUGAAGAAGGUUUUCGGAUCGUAAAGCUCUGUUGUAAGAGAAGAACGGGUGUGAGAGUGGAAAGUUCACACUGUGACGGUAUCUUACCAGAAAGGGACGGCUAACUACGUG